AUUGAACGCUGGCGGCAGGCCUAACACAUGCAAGUCGAACGGAUGAACGGUGCUUGCUUGUGGAUUCAGCGGGGGACGGGUGAGUGAUGCCCAGGAAUCUCCCUGCCUGUGGUUUAGAACGUCCGCAAGCGGGCGCUAAUACCGCAUACGUGCUGAGGGAGAAAGGGGGGGAGCUUCGGACCUUACGCUCUCAGAUGAUUGUAGGUCGGAUUAGCUAGUUGGUGGGGUAAAGGCCUACCAAGGCGACGAUCCGUAGCUGGUCUGAGAGGAUGAUCAGCCACACUGGAACUGAGACACGGUCCAGACUCCUACGGGAGGCAGCAGUGGGGAAUAUUGGACAAUGGGCGCAAGCCUGAUCCAGCCAUGCCGCGUGUGUGAAGAAGGCCUUCGGGUUGUAAAGCCCUUUUGUUGGGGAGGAAAAGCAGUAGGUUAAUACCCCGCUGUUCUGACGGUACCCAAAGAAUAAGCACCGGCUAACUUCGUG
This 484-nucleotide ribosomal RNA is filed under the name uncultured bacterium. RNAcentral's name for it is "partial 16S ribosomal RNA". It matches the Rfam family "Bacterial small subunit ribosomal RNA", at positions 30 to 507 of the family's 1533-position model. The record is from RNAcentral.